CAGGGGGUCCGGCGGGGCCACGGGGACCCAUGGCGCCCUGUGGAGAAAACACAUGCUCAAGCCUCAUUUGUUCCCUAUUGUGAUGAAAGCAGCGUUAAACCUGGAGGAGGUGCAGUUUACUCCCCCAUGAGACAGACCACGUGACCAACCAGGAAUGGACUGGGCCGUGUUCAUGUGACAUGUGACAUCAGGAUACAAGAAGUAGGGAAGAGGAUGGAAUGCAAUCCGUCUUUCAGGAAGAAAGCGAGGCAGAAAGGAAGAAGAAAGGAAAGAAAGCGCCACCUCAUCAUUCCCCUGGUUCAACCUCCAGUAUGAUCGGAUCCUCUGAGCGUCACAAACCAACACGCACAAAUGCAUUCGAACACACUCGUACACACACACACACACACACACACACACACACACACACACAC
Sander lucioperca (pikeperch) is the source of this 413-nucleotide long non-coding RNA. RefSeq lists it as uncharacterized. The transcript has 3 exons. The record is from RefSeq and is a predicted model, not a curated record. NCBI's taxonomy places the organism in Eukaryota, Metazoa, Chordata, Actinopteri, Perciformes, Percidae.